RNAcentral lists this ribosomal RNA (812 nucleotides) under Klebsiella aerogenes. RNAcentral's name for it is "partial 16S ribosomal RNA". The record is from RNAcentral. Lineage: Bacteria; Pseudomonadati; Pseudomonadota; Gammaproteobacteria; Enterobacterales; Enterobacteriaceae.
AGCACGCCUCAAGGGCACAACCUCCAAGUCGACAUCGUUUACGGCGUGGACUACCAGGGUAUCUAAUCCUGUUGCUCCCCACGCUUUCGCACCUGAGCGCAGUCUUUGUCCAGGGGGCCGCCUUCGCCACCGGUAUUCCUCCAGAUCUCUACGCAUUUCACCGCUACACCUGGAAUUCUACCCCCCUCUACAAGACUCUAGCCUGCCAGUUUCGAAUGCAGUUCCCAGGUGAGCCCGGGGAUUUCACAUCCGACUUGACAGACCGCCUGCGUGCGCUUUACGCCCAGUAAUUCCGAUUAACGCUUGCACCCUCCGUAUUACCGCGGCUGSUGGCACGGAGUUAGCCGGUGCUUCUUCUGCGAGUAACGUCAAUCRCAAGGUUAUUAACCUUAAGCCUUCCUCCUCGCUGAAAGUACUUUACAACCCGAAGGCCUUCUUCUACACGCGGCAUGGCUGCAUCAGGCUUGCGCCCAUUGUGCAAUAUUCCCCACUGCUGCCUCCCGUAGGAGUCUGGACCGUGUCUCAGUUCCAGUGUGGCUGGCAUCCUCUCAGACAGCUAGGGAUCGUCGCCUAGGUGAGCCAUUACCCCACCUACUAGCUAAUCCCAUCUGGGCAAUCUGAUGGCAUGAGGCCCGAAGGUCCCCCACUUUGGUCUUGCGACGUUAUGCGGUAUUAGCUACCGUUUCCAGUAGUUAUCCCCCUCCAUCAGGCAGUUUCCCAGACAUUACUCACCCCGUCCGCCGCUCGUCACCCGAGAGCAAGCUCUCUGUGUACCGCUCGACUUGCAUGUGUUAGGCCUGCCGCCAGCGUUC